Molecule: non-coding RNA, 817 nt
Organism: Anas platyrhynchos (mallard)
Lineage: Eukaryota; Metazoa; Chordata; Aves; Anseriformes; Anatidae
Source: RefSeq, a predicted model, not a curated record
AAGAUGCACUUUAGAUUUCCCAGAGCUGUUAUUGAAUGUGAGUGAGAUGCAAAUUAAACAUUAAAAACAUAUUUAUGGUGGGGUUAGCAGCAGCUACAUAAUCUUACAUACAGAGCAGGCCACAAGAAUCAACUAGCCGUCUGGGAGACCUCCGGGAGGAUUUGUUGUAAAAGCAAUUGGCACAUCAUUAGCCUCGAAUGCAAAUCCUGGUGGAUGUGGAGGAAGCCCAUGACCAGGCAGAUUCUUCCCGUGCUGGAUCCCAGGGCAGGCACCUCCAGGUGGGAGACGUGGAGAUGAUGCUGAGGUGGAGCUGGGAUGCGGGGCUCAUCCUUCAGCUGCCUUCGUGGUAUGUGCAGAGGCAGGUGAAACCCUCUUGGAAGUGGUGGUGGUGUUACUGCUGAUGUUCCACCUUCUCCAAGCUGCAAUGUGCUGUUUGAGAGCGCUGGGGAGGGCUGGAGGAGGAGACAGCGGGCGUAAGCUGGUGCAUGAGGGAAUCUUCGUCAAGCUCAGCAUUGAGCUUGAGUGGGUGGAAUUUGGAAACUCAGGCCUAAAUCCUGUGACUAGAGCCCACUGCUGAGCUACAGAGCCAGAAUUUGAUUCUGCUGCUUACAAGGAGUGAGAUGGAGAUGAAACCAGGACGUGGAGCAGCCCCUCAUCCAGCAGUGCCGUGCCCCAGGCGCGAGCUGACGCCCCGUGGAUUUCCAGCCGGGACUUGCUCCAGAGCUUGACGAUCCCAUGAGAAAAUACGGACGGAAGAAAAGGCCUGAAUGGACAUCUGGGACCAAAAUACCCCAAAUAAAUAUUUACUGACAUCUAA